UGAAUUUGACCAUGCUUUAUGGAGAAGACCAAAAGCUGCAAAGGCAAACACUUCCAAUAGAUUUCUCACAGAUUACUUAGUCCUUCUCCAUCAGCUCUCCACAAUAUCAGCCCGUCCAAAAGCUUCCACAUCUCUCUCUCUCGUGUGGCACAUCUGCUCUCAGUCCUUUACUGCCAACUUCCAGUCUUAGCAUGUCUACUUGUAUUAAUUUCUCCUCUACAGUCAUCACUCCCAUCUCUACUAUAAGCACUCCUGUCACUAUCACUAUAUAUAUAUAUAUUUGCUCAAAAUGGUUGACUUUUAUCAUUAUAAAAUUAUAAUUGUUAUUAACCAUUAAUUUGUCUUGCAUUUAGUCACAAUAGAAGCAAACAAUGAUUACAGGAGAUAUAUUUUUAAAGUGGCACAAACUGGAGAGAGAAUGCUGUUCUGGGCACUAUGUUUAUCUGGG
Sinocyclocheilus anshuiensis is the source of this 448-nucleotide long non-coding RNA. RefSeq lists it as uncharacterized. The record is from RefSeq and is a predicted model, not a curated record. NCBI's taxonomy places the organism in Eukaryota, Metazoa, Chordata, Actinopteri, Cypriniformes, Cyprinidae. The transcript has 3 exons.